This 1121-nucleotide small RNA is filed under the name Drosophila ananassae. RNAcentral's name for it is "GF27824". Lineage: Eukaryota; Metazoa; Arthropoda; Insecta; Diptera; Drosophilidae. The record is from RNAcentral.
GCUCUGCUCUCUUAACUUUUGUCCUGAAACCUCUUAGACUUCUGCAAAAUAUUCCUUCCAUCUUUAAGCUUUAUGGCUUCUGGAAGGUAACCAUCUAAGUUGAUUGCUUGGAGGCGUCGGGUUCAAAGUUCAUGAUGCUUAUCAAUUGAGAGAGGAACGGGGGGCACUGGGAUAGCAACCGAAAUUGCCAUUCCGAUCAUUGGCAUUUGAACUCAAAGUGUCAAAAGCACGAAAUCGUUUGAGAUUACCCGAAAACCGAGGCACAAACUGGGAGGCAGAGUUUGAUGCUCCCGGCUGCUGACCCACAUAAGGAACACUCCUCCCAUUACCCAUUACCCUCUACCCGCGUAGUGUCUCUGGUCCUCCGAUUUGCUGGCCUGGUCGAGUGAAAGUUUCCUCUUCUCUGGCUGACGGGGGCUGGCUUGAGUAAUUUUCAACAAUUUACGACAAAUUUGCAUUGGGCCUGUUGAAAUUUUCGGGCUGUGGUGUGAAAAAUAUGAAAGUGAAAAUGAAAAUUGCCUAAUGAGCGCGUUUAACUCUGAUUUGGAUGUGUGAAGUUGAUGUGAAAAGCGAUGUGAGCGAUGGCAGUGAGGCGUGACUGACGACGGGCUUGUGGUGUGGUGUGGUGUGAUGGCUGUAACAUGGAUACGACACCACCGGUGCAUUGUCCAUUUCAGCCCAGCGUCGUAUCCUGUAUGGGCAGGAUAUGCAUGUCGCUGAGUUGCAGCUGCAGUGGAAACUAGCCAACACAUCCUGGGGCGCAAAAAAUGAAACAAUGUUUAAUAAAACAGAAAAAAGUGGCGACAUUGUCACAUGAAUCAGCAAGGAGGAAGUCAAGGGUGAACGACCACGAGGACACCCAGUAAGUUUUUGGCCCGAAAACUUUUUACAAAAUCCAAAAACGUUUUUAAGGCAAUUGGAAACAUUUUUUGCUGCUAAGCUGCUGCUGAUGCGGAUGCUGCCCCCACAGCAUCCCCACUUGACUUUGGCCAAGACCUGGAGGUGGAUUGGAUUGGAUUGGCCCGGAAUGGCAUGGCUUUGAUACUUUAUUUAUUUGAGGUUUCUGUGUGGUUUUGUGAACUCAUUUGAAAUAAUUACACCGCCCGGCUGAAACGCUUUUA